This 1332-nucleotide long non-coding RNA is filed under the name Vombatus ursinus (common wombat). RNAcentral describes it as "lncRNA (ENSVURG00010004091.1)". The record is from RNAcentral. Lineage: Eukaryota; Metazoa; Chordata; Mammalia; Diprotodontia; Vombatidae.
GUUGUGCCUCUCACCCUGGGUUAUGAGUGCCAUCCACUUUGCCAUCAUCUGGAGGUCUGUACUAAAAUCCACGGCGAUGGACUGGGCGUCAUGCAGAGUUUUAUGGUCAUCAGGUCUCAGCUGUAAGGAAUGAAUUCUGCUGGCCCCCAGCUUCCAGAUUGUCAGGGAGCUUAUCCUGAUAGCAAACCAGUCUGAUUCUUCGUCCUUCCACCCAGUGAUCUUGGUAAUCCCCUCUGGAGCCAAGCCAAACAGGCCUGAUCUCUCCUGGACAGGAUAGCUCUUCAGACAGGAAGGCAGGGGACGUGUCCCCUCCUCCACCCCCGAGUCUUCUGUAAGCUAAAUACCCCCCAUUCCUCAUGCGGCUUGAACUGAGACUGUUCCAGGAACAGGUAACCACUCUUCGAUUCCUGCCUUACUCCUGGGCACUUGAGUGCCAAGAGAUCCUCCUCAGCGUCUUAUGGGUGGAAAAGACAAUUCUCCACUCUCUCCACAGGAGCAGCCGGAGGCUUAGUACCAGGUGUUGGUGGAAUCCCAGGCAUUGGAAGCGUUGCAGGUGUUCCAGGUGUCGGUGGUGUCCCAGGAGCAGAAAGCCCAGCUGCAGCGGCCAAAGCAGCAGCUAAAGCAGCCAAGUAUGGGGCCAGGGCUGUCCCUGGAGUUGGAGUUCCUGGCUUUGGUGUGGGCCCUGGAGUUGGAGUUCCUGGCUUUGGGGUUGGCGCUGGAGCUGUUCCUGGUGCGGGGGUCGUUCCCGGAGGUAUCCCCGGGACAGCUCUCUCCCCUGCUGCUGCCGCCGCUGCCGCCAAAGCAGCUAAGUAUGGUGCUGGAGGUCUUGGAGGGAUAGUUCCUGGUGCUGGCAUCCCAGGUGUGGGAGUUGUUCCAGGUGGCGUUGGAGGCGUGGUAGGAGGUCCAGGGUUAGUCCCAGGUGUGGGAGGACUUGCAGGGGUCCCAGGUGUUCCUGGUGUCGGAGGUCUCCCAGGAGCAGUAUCUCCAGCAGCCCAGGCUGCGGCCAAAGCAGCUGCCAAAGCCCAGUAUAGAGCUGUUCCUGGGAUUGGAGGAGUCCCUGGCUUCCCACCUAGAGCUGUAGAUGGCAUCGUCUCCCCGCCUAGUGUUGGAGUCAUCCCAGGCUUUGGGGCUGGUGUAGCUCCAGGAGCCCUGGCAGCAGCAAAAGCAGCUAAGUAUGGAGCUGGUGGCCUUGGCGGUCUGGGAGGAGGCUUGGUACCUGGUGUGGCUGGCGUCCCAGGAGCAGGAAUUGGAGGUCUAGGAGGUGUUCCAGGUGAGUAGAGCGGUGGAGGCCUUGUCAGGCAGCCAACAAACAUUUAUUAAGCAUCUGCCAUG